AGUAACACGUGGGGAACCUGCCCCUAAGUCUGGGAUACCAUUUGGAAACAGGUGCUAAUACCGGAUAAGAAAGCAGAUCGCAUGAUCAGCUUUUGAAAGGCGGCGUAAGCUGUCGCUAAGGGAUGGCCCCGCGGUGCAUUAGCUAGUUGGUAAGGUAACGGCUUACCAAGGCGACGAUGCAUAGCCGAGUUGAGAGACUGAUCGGCCACAUUGGGACUGAGACACGGCCCAAACUCCUACGGGAGGCAGCAGCG
RNAcentral lists this ribosomal RNA (254 nucleotides) under uncultured Lactobacillus sp. RNAcentral describes it as "partial 16S ribosomal RNA". It matches the Rfam family "Bacterial small subunit ribosomal RNA", at positions 109 to 356 of the family's 1533-position model. The record is from RNAcentral. Lineage: Bacteria; Bacillati; Bacillota; Bacilli; Lactobacillales; Lactobacillaceae.